RNAcentral lists this transfer RNA (75 nucleotides) under Vibrio vulnificus. RNAcentral's name for it is "tRNA-Asp". It matches the Rfam family "tRNA". Rfam says of the family: Transfer RNA (tRNA) molecules are approximately 80 nucleotides in length. Their secondary structure includes four short double-helical elements and three loops (D, anti-codon, and T loops). The record is from RNAcentral. Lineage: Bacteria; Pseudomonadati; Pseudomonadota; Gammaproteobacteria; Vibrionales; Vibrionaceae.
GGAGCGGUAGUUCAGUUGGUUAGAAUACCGGCCUGUCACGCCGGGGGUCGCGGGUUCGAGUCCCGUCCGCUCCGC